This 385-nucleotide ribosomal RNA is filed under the name uncultured bacterium. RNAcentral describes it as "bacterial SSU rRNA". It matches the Rfam family "Bacterial small subunit ribosomal RNA", at positions 28 to 413 of the family's 1533-position model. The record is from RNAcentral.
GACGAACGCUGGCGGCGUGCUUAACACAUGCAAGUCGAGCGGUAAGGCCCUUUCGGGGGUACACGAGCGGCGAACGGGUGAGUAACACGUGGGUGACCUGCCCUCAGCUCUGGGAUAAGCCCGGGAAACUGGGUCUAAUACCGGAUAUGACUUCAUGACGCAUGUUGUGGAGUGGAAAGCCUUGUGCGGCUGAGGAUGGGCCCGCGGCCUAUCAGCUUGUUGGUGGGGUGAUGGCCUACCAAGGCGACGACGGGUAGCCGGCCUGAGAGGGCGACCGGCCACACUGGGACUGAGAUACGGCCCAGACUCCGUACGGGAGGCAGCAGUGGGGAAUCUUGCGCAAGUGGGCGAAAGCCUGACGCAGCGACGCCGCGUGAGGAUGACG